Molecule: long non-coding RNA, 1013 nt
Filed under: Malus domestica (apple)
Lineage: Eukaryota; Viridiplantae; Streptophyta; Magnoliopsida; Rosales; Rosaceae
Description: long non-coding RNA (MDOM_LNC017119)
Source: RNAcentral
AGAAAUGCCCAAUCGGAGAAGAAGAAGAUGAGAGCGAAUCAGAGGAAGAGAGAGGAAGAAACUGACCAACCAGGGGAAGGAAAGGAGGGAAAGGAGGGUGAGUGGUGCACGGGGGAACAGGAGGAACGGGUCACCCUUGACCCGCGCGACCCAAGCUUCCAAAUCGGCGGGUUUUCGCCAUUUUCGUCCAAUUUUCCGACGAAUUGAAUCAAGGUACCACUCCCAAUCAACAUCUAGACAUUCCCUCUUCACGUUUCACCCCAAGAAUCAUUGAAUUUCAUGGUGAUUUCGCGAAGAACACCCCUACGGGUGCCGCGACCUUUUUGUUUAAAUUCAUCAAAUUUUGAAAUGUUUUCUUGAAAUUACUAACACCAUUAGCAUUCCUUUAGGACCUAGAACAAAGCCCAAGAGGUAAUUGAGGCGUUGGAACAAGUUUGAAGGUCGAAUUGGAAACACCCAAUUCUAGGGUUCUUCACGGUUUUGGUGAAAUUGAAGCACUUCCAGGCCAAAUUGGCCUUGGCCACAGGUAUGAAAGUUGUUCGACUCAUUGAGAUCUUCAAAUCUGCAAAUUUAGGUAAUUUUUGGAAAUAGUUGAAUUUUCCGGCGAGCCGGGGCGGCCAACCGCCACCCGCGGCGGCCCACGCGGCGGCGCGUGGCCAAUGGCUCGCCAAUGUCAUUAUUAGCAUGUGUUUGAGGUUCUAGGUUCAGUUUUGAUAAUUGAUGGACGUAAAUUGAAUAAUUGAACCUAAGUUGGUUACGAUUCGUGGUUAGGUGAAAAUGUGAAUUGACGAUCCGACCGUUGGAUGGUAAUGAAAUUUUAGGAUGUUGUCCUAGAGGUAUAUUGUGGACCUCUGGAAGUUACGGAUUUGAAAUCUGAGUUGCAGAUCAUCCGGAUCGAACUACGUAGUGACGUGUCUUAUAUAAGUUAUGUAUUCGAUCGGCAGGAUUUCUGAGGUUGGAUUUGAUUAUUGUUCUAGGCACUGAUCAUCACGACGCCUUGAUGUACGGUGCUA